This 90-nucleotide transfer RNA is filed under the name Candidatus Taylorbacteria bacterium RIFCSPHIGHO2_01_FULL_44_110. RNAcentral describes it as "tRNA-Ser". It matches the Rfam family "tRNA". From Rfam's summary of the family: Transfer RNA (tRNA) molecules are approximately 80 nucleotides in length. Their secondary structure includes four short double-helical elements and three loops (D, anti-codon, and T loops). RNAcentral also lists the same sequence under 5 other names. Lineage: Bacteria; Candidatus Tayloriibacteriota. The record is from RNAcentral.
GGAGAGGUGGCAGAGUGGUCGAAUGCACCGCUUUCGAAAAGCGGCAGGGGCGCAAGCUCCUCGGGAGUUCGAAUCUCCCCCUCUCCGCCU